This 118-nucleotide small nucleolar RNA is filed under the name Erinaceus europaeus (western European hedgehog). RNAcentral describes it as "Small nucleolar RNA SNORA68 (ENSEEUG00000022424.1)". The record is from RNAcentral. Lineage: Eukaryota; Metazoa; Chordata; Mammalia; Eulipotyphla; Erinaceidae.
CAACCAUCAAAAUUGUGUAACUUUACUUCUGUUUAAAAGGUGCUAACAGCAAAGGGUACCUUUUUGCCCGUGGAGGACGCUCUCUGCCCUUCAAUGUGAAUUUAGAGGUUCUAUAUAC